Molecule: ribosomal RNA, 253 nt
Filed under: uncultured bacterium
Lineage: Bacteria
Description: partial 16S ribosomal RNA
Rfam family: Bacterial small subunit ribosomal RNA
Source: RNAcentral
UACGUAGGGUGCAAGCGUUGUCCGGAAUUAUUGGGCGUAAAGAGCUUGUAGGCGGUUUGUCGCGUCUGCUGUGAAAUUUCGGGGCUCAACCCCGAACUUGCAGUGGGUACGGGCAGACUAGAGUGUGGUAGGGGAGACUGGAAUUCCUGGUGUAGCGGUGAAAUGCGCAGAUAUCAGGAGGAACACCGAUGGCGAAGGCACUCUGCUGGGCCGACACUGACACUGAGAGACGAAAGCUAGGGGAGCAAACGGG